CUCCAAAAUCCAGUGCUUCCCAUUAAUUUCUGACUUUUUUACAAGUUCACCUAAAUUUCUUCCCACUCGUUCCAACUCUUUUUCCACAUGAUCCAAUUCCCCUAUUUUAAUCUCAAAAACAAUCCAAUCCCUUCAAUUAUUUGUCUCUCAGAUCUCAAAGCAUACCAUUUAUAAUCGCACGGAUCCCAAAGCCUCAUCCCUUCUCAGCCGUGCGCAUCCAUUCCGGGUUCAACCCUAUCCACGGAGGAAUCCCAGCCAAGUCCCAGUAGCUCCCAACAACUCGAUCAAUCACAUCCGUUUCCUUUCAUCCGCAUGAGCCCGUGCGAUGAUCUCCCAGCAUUCCAGAUCAUUUCCCCCUGCCUCAAAACAGAACCCAUCUUCCCAGCAGUCCACCCGUGAUGCAUGCAAAAGGUUCCACGCAUCAAAGGUUUCUUUCCUUCCGGAUUCCACUGUGCUGAAACAGAGUCCCAGCGAUUUUUCCGUGAUCCACCUUCCUCGCAUCCGCGAUUCAAGGAUCAGCCUCCCAGUUCCCCUGUUGGAGUUCANNNNNNNNNNNNNNNNNNNNAGAGUCCCAGCGAUUUUUCCGUGAUCCACCUUCCUCGCAUCCGCGAUUCAAGGAUCAGCUCCCAGUUCCCCUGUUGGAGUUCAUCUUUAUCUCACGAAUCAACCAUGAACCAAAUCCAAACUCCCUUCAUCCAUGUGUUCCAGCCGUUCGUGAGAUUUCCCCCAACGUCAAGAUCAGAUCUCUUCCCGGUCAUGAAGGAAUCCCAGCAUCCCAUCAACCUCAUCUCUAUCCCGCGACCAGCCGGAUUCCCACGCUUCCUCUGUGCAUCUCAGCAUGAUCCAUCCUUAUCCACUGCUAACCGAGUCCCAAGCUUGAUCCCGUUCGUGAUGAUCAUCCAGGAUCCAUGACAGCAUCCCGAGCUUCACGGGUCACCUUUUAUCCAGCUUCUUCCGAAUCAUUCCGGAUCAUCCUUCCAGCGGAACAGAGGCCGAGUCUUCAUCCCAGAACAGUCGUAUCCUUCUUCCAAACCAAAUCCCGAGCCCGUCCCAGCCUCCCUCCGGAUCGCGUUCGUGAUCUAUCUUCAUCCCACGACUGCAUCAAAUCUCCUGCAUCUCGGAUUAUAGCUUAUCCCCUGCUUCGGAACCAACUCUCAACAUCUUCAUCUCCACCGCGUUGAACCAACAUCAUCCUCUUCCGGUUUGAUCCCAUGGAAUCUCCCAACGUCCAAGUUCAUCCAAGCUGCCAGCCGAAUCCAGUCGUUCCUAGCUCCAAAUCCGGCAUCAAAUCCAGAGCCUCAUCCUUAUCCUCCACUCGGAAAUAGGGAAGAGGAGAGAUCAAGGUUGCAGCCUAUAAAAGGCCCGAGCGUGAACAGAGGAGGAUUCAUUCCCCACCGGGGGCUGAUCCCAAGUUCUUCUCAGAGGCGAAAUCCCACAUAGUUCACCGGGAGAAGAAGAAGCUUGGGUUCACAAGCCGAAUCCCACAGAGCUAGGAGAGAGAAAUAUUUUGGGUAUUUUGGGAAUGACUUCCUAUAAGAGCUAAGAAGGAGCCGUUCUCAAGGAAAUCGCAAGAGGAAGAGAACAAAGAGAUGGAAGCCCGCUGCUGUGCCACUGCUGCUGUCGCCCACGACUCCAUGGAAGGCUGAUCUCCUCUCCAGGGCUGAAUGCAAUCCUAACAAAGGGACACGGGUUUUAUGUAUUUAAUUUUAUAUUCUUGGAGUUGUAUGAAUCCUCUUACCCUUAAAUGAAUAUUUUUCUUUCAUCUUAUAUUUAAUCUCUGUGACUUUAAAUAUGAUGUUCGUACAACUAUUUUUCAUGAUCCCUGAGUAAGUAUAAAGAUAAU
Molecule: long non-coding RNA, 1843 nt
Filed under: Phoenix dactylifera (date palm)
Lineage: Eukaryota; Viridiplantae; Streptophyta; Magnoliopsida; Arecales; Arecaceae
Description: long non-coding RNA (PDAC_LNC007115)
Source: RNAcentral